Molecule: ribosomal RNA, 623 nt
Filed under: Arthrobacter ginsengisoli
Lineage: Bacteria; Bacillati; Actinomycetota; Actinomycetes; Micrococcales; Micrococcaceae
Description: bacterial SSU rRNA
Rfam family: Bacterial small subunit ribosomal RNA
Source: RNAcentral
AUGAUGCCCACUUGUGGGUGGAUUAGUGGCGAACGGGUGAGUAACACGUGAGUAACCUGCCCUUAACUCUGGGAUAAGCCUGGGAAACUGGGUCUAAUACCGGAUAUGACUCCUCAUCGCAUGGUGGGGGGUGGAAAGCUUUAUUGUGGUUUUGGAUGGACUCGCGGCCUAUCAGCUUGUUGGUGAGGUAAUGGCUCACCAAGGCGACGACGGGUAGCCGGCCUGAGAGGGUGACCGGCCACACUGGGACUGAGACACGGCCCAGACUCCUACGGGAGGCAGCAGUGGGGAAUAUUGCACAAUGGGCGAAAGCCUGAUGCAGCGACGCCGCGUGAGGGAUGACGGCCUUCGGGUUGUAAACCUCUUUCAGUAGGGAAGAAGCGAAAGUGACGGUACCUGCAGAAGAAGCGCCGGCUAACUACGUGCCAGCAGCCGCGGUAAUACGUAGGGCGCAAGCGUUAUCCGGAAUUAUUGGGCGUAAAGAGCUCGUAGGCGGUUUGUCGCGUCUGCCGUGAAAGUCCGGGGCUCAACUCCGGAUCUGCGGUGGGUACGGGCAGACUAGAGUGAUGUAGGGGAGACUGGAAUUCCUGGUGUAGCGGUGAAAUGCGCAGAUAUCAGGAGGA